This is a non-coding RNA of Triticum aestivum (bread wheat), 135 nucleotides long. NCBI's taxonomy places the organism in Eukaryota, Viridiplantae, Streptophyta, Magnoliopsida, Poales, Poaceae. The record is from Rfam.
CAAAUACUUCCUCUAUCCGGAAAUACUUGUCUUCAAAAUGGGAAAAAGGAAAUGUAUCUAGACGUAUUUUAGUCUUAGAUACAUCUCUUUUUAUCCAUUUUGAUGACAAGUAUUUUCAGACGGAUGGAGUAAAAA